RNAcentral lists this ribosomal RNA (468 nucleotides) under uncultured bacterium. RNAcentral describes it as "partial 16S ribosomal RNA". It matches the Rfam family "Bacterial small subunit ribosomal RNA", at positions 28 to 507 of the family's 1533-position model. The record is from RNAcentral.
GACGAACGCUGGCGGCGUGCUUAACACAUGCAAGUCGAACGGAAAGGCCCUGCUUUUGUGGGGUGCUCGAGUGGCGAACGGGUGAGUAACACGUGAGUAACCUGCCCUUUACUUUGGGAUAACUUCAGGAAACUUGGGCUAAUACCGGAUAGGAGCUCCUGCUGCAUGGUGGGGGUUGGAAAGUUUCGGCGGUUGGGGAUGGACUCGAGGCUUAUCAGCUUGUUUGUGGGGUAGUGGCUUACCAAGGCUUUGACGGGUAGCCGGCCUGAGAGGGUGACCGGCCACAUUGGGACUGAGAUACGGCCCAGACUCCUACGGGAGGCAGCAGUGGGGAAUAUUGCACAAUGGGCGGAAGCCUGAUGCAGCAACGCCGCGUGCGGGAUGACGGCCUUCGGGUUGUAAACCGCUUUCGCCUGUGACGAAGCGUGAGUGACGGUAAUGGGUAAAGAAGCACCGGCUAACUACGUG